Molecule: unclassified non-coding RNA, 439 nt
Filed under: Hevea brasiliensis (rubber tree)
Lineage: Eukaryota; Viridiplantae; Streptophyta; Magnoliopsida; Malpighiales; Euphorbiaceae
Source: RNAcentral
CAGGGUUUUGCUUUUUGAUUAUGAGAACUCAUAUCCUUGGAGCAAGAGUGAUUCAGUUCAUCAGCAUCCCUUGGUCUCUAUAGUUCAUAACUGGGAACAAGUAGAGGAACGACUAAUAUCGUUGAUUUCUUAGUUUUAAAUGAUUUCAGAACAAUUCGCAAAAGUAUCAUCUAUUCGUUGAUAUGCUAUAAUUGAUUCUUAUGCCUGGAACAUUGAAAUGCAUGCUGCCGACGAAGCUGACCUUAUGGUGUAGACUGUAGAGGCUUUUGGGAAUACAACUGUAAGGAGACCAGCGAAAUAAGCUUCUGGUGAAUGAGCAAUAGCAGCAUCUGAAUUAUAGUAUUAGUAGUGAAGUGACGAUCUUGUAUAUUUUUCUUACUUUUGAGGCAUGUUGAGGAGAUUUAGGACACUUGCCAAUGGACAGAAUACCAUGUGGCCC